GGCUGCAACUCGCCCUCAUGAAGCUGGAAUCGCUAGUAACCGCGUAUCAGCCAUGGCGCGGUGAAUAUGUUCCUGGGUCUUGUACUCACCGCCCGUCAAGUCAUGAAAGGUGGGGGUACCUGAAGCACCCCGCUUUGCGGGGUACCACGGUAAAACCACUGAUUGGGGCUAAGUCGUAACAAGGUAUCCGUAGGAGAACCUGCGGAUGGAUCACCUCCUUUCUAAGGAG
This 229-nucleotide ribosomal RNA is filed under the name Candidatus Peregrinibacteria bacterium RIFOXYC2_FULL_33_13. RNAcentral describes it as "partial 16S ribosomal RNA". It matches the Rfam family "Bacterial small subunit ribosomal RNA", at positions 1303 to 1533 of the family's 1533-position model. The record is from RNAcentral. Lineage: Bacteria; Candidatus Peregrinibacteriota.